This 208-nucleotide ribosomal RNA is filed under the name Chloropicon mariensis. Its description in RNAcentral is "partial Eukaryotic small subunit ribosomal RNA". It matches the Rfam family "Eukaryotic small subunit ribosomal RNA", at positions 1586 to 1791 of the family's 1831-position model. Lineage: Eukaryota; Viridiplantae; Chlorophyta; Chloropicophyceae; Chloropicales; Chloropicaceae. The record is from RNAcentral.
GAAAUUGUUCCCCAUGAACGAGGAAUUCCCAGUAAAGGCGUGUCAUUAGCACGCCUUGAUUACGUCCCUGCCCUUUGUACACACCGCCCGUCGCUACUACCGAUUGAAUGGCUCAGUGAGGCCUCCGGACUGGCUCGGAGAGGUUGGCAACGACCACUCCGAGCCGGAAAGUUCGUCAAACUCGGUCAUUUAGAGGAAGUAAAAGUCG